GGAGCUGUGAGCUGGGGGGACUUUCAGAGUCGCUCUGCAUUAAGAUGGAAAAAAGAAGCUUGGAGAAGGGGAAAUGACUUUACCCAGCUAAGAAUAUGGCAAAGCUGAGCCAACUAGUCAAGUUUUCUGACCCCAAAUCCUGUAUUUCCCAUGACUCAUCUUGUGGAAGGCUGAGAUGCGGAAAUUGAGACUCAAAGAGGUUGAGCAGCAAUUCCGUGAGCUGAAACUUAAGCCCAGAUGCAUGUGAUUCCAGAGGCAGGUCUGCUUCAGGGGACCCCCAAUCUAAGACAGAUAUCCCCAAUUUCACAUGAAGAGACUGAGGCAGCUGGAGGCAAAGCAGCUUGUACAAGACCCCACAAGAAGAGGAGGAGUUGCUUUCUUGAACUGCUGUGGUUUUACCCACAGUCACCGGACCGUGCUGCCGCCCUGGUGGGAGGAUGUGUCUGCCUGCACAGCAUUCCCACAGCAACCAGCACAGCCCUUGUGUGGUGGAGGUGCCGGGCAUACUGAGAUGCAUCUGUCAGCAUCUGCCUCCUGGUACCUUGGGCCUGCAUGUCUGGCAGGCAGGUAGAAGAACACGCUGGCCAUUUCAAUGUUAAGACAAAGAGGUAGAGAAGGCUGGAUGAAGGAGGUGAUGACUGAACCAUAUCCUGAGGCAGCUGGGGUUUCCAGGAAGAGGACAGAGAGAAGGACAUUCAGGUGGAGGAGCCAGCAGAUGUGACAACCAGUGCACAGAGAGAUUAACUAACUUGCCGUCCAGUGGGCAUGUGGUGGAGCCCAGGGUGAAACCCAGGCAGUCUCU
This 802-nucleotide long non-coding RNA is filed under the name Homo sapiens (human). Its description in RNAcentral is "HSALNT0291496". Lineage: Eukaryota; Metazoa; Chordata; Mammalia; Primates; Hominidae. The record is from RNAcentral.